This 329-nucleotide long non-coding RNA is filed under the name Androctonus crassicauda. The record is from RNAcentral. Lineage: Eukaryota; Metazoa; Arthropoda; Arachnida; Scorpiones; Buthidae.
GGGAAAAAUUGGAGAAAUUGUUAAGAAACCAAAAUCCAUGGUUCAGUAUAUUAUAAACAGAUACAAAGAAUUUAAAUCUUUUGCAAGUAGGUGUUCUGGGAGGCCUGAGAAGCUAAGUCGUCCACACAAAAGAGUUGUACUGAGAAGAGUUCAUGAGAAUCCUAGAGUUAGUGCUCCAAACUUGCUGCUUCAUUGCAAACUGAUUACAGGAAUACCUCACUUAAUACAGUUAAUUGGUUUCUCUAAAAUACCUCGUUAAAUGAAUCCGCACUGAGUGAAACAUUAUUUUUAUAGGAAAAUAAGUAAUUUGUUCCUCUCAAAUUUUGUUA